CCUACGGGGGGCUGCAGUGGGGAAUAUUGCACAAUGGGCGCAGGCCUGAUGCAGCCAUGCCGCGUGUGUGAAGAAGGCCUUCGGGUUGUAAAGCACUUUCAGCGGGGAGGAAGGCGUUAAGGUUAAUAACCUUGUCGAUUGACGUUACCCGCAGAAGAAGCACCGGCUAACUCCGUGCCAGCAGCCGCGGUAAUACGGAGGGUGCAAGCGUUAAUCGGAAUUACUGGGCGUAAAGCGCACGCAGGCGGUCUGUCAAGUCGGAUGUGAAAUCCCCGGGCUCAACCUGGGAACUGCAUUCGAAACUGGCAGGCUAGAGUCUUGUAGAGGGGGGUAGAAUUCCAGGUGUAGCGGUGAAAUGCGUAGAGAUCUGGAGGAAUACCGGUGGCGAAGGCGGCCCCCUGGACAAAGACUGACGCUCAGGUGCGAAAGCGUGGGGAGCAAACAGGAUUAGAUACCCGUGUAGUC
RNAcentral lists this ribosomal RNA (465 nucleotides) under uncultured Klebsiella sp. RNAcentral's name for it is "bacterial SSU rRNA". It matches the Rfam family "Bacterial small subunit ribosomal RNA", at positions 338 to 795 of the family's 1533-position model. The record is from RNAcentral. Lineage: Bacteria; Pseudomonadati; Pseudomonadota; Gammaproteobacteria; Enterobacterales; Enterobacteriaceae.